RNAcentral lists this ribosomal RNA (381 nucleotides) under uncultured marine Chaetocerotaceae. Its description in RNAcentral is "SSU rRNA". It matches the Rfam family "Eukaryotic small subunit ribosomal RNA", at positions 587 to 972 of the family's 1831-position model. Lineage: Eukaryota; Bacillariophyta; Thalassiosirophyceae; Chaetocerotales; Chaetocerotaceae. The record is from RNAcentral.
AGCUCCAAUAGCGUAUAUUAAAGUUGCUGCAGUUAAAAAGCUCGUAGUUGCAUUUCCGAGGCAAGGGAUUAGUCCGACCUUUGGUGGGUAUUUAAUCCUCUUGCCUCGUCCUUGAGUGGUGCUUCUUGGUAUUAAGUUAUCGAGGAGAUAGCCGCUCAUCGUUUACUGUGAGAAAAUUAGAGUGUUCAAAGCAGGCUUAUGCCGUUGAAUAUAUUAGCAUGGAAUAAUAAGAUAGGACCUCGGUACUAUUGUGUUGGUUUGAGAACCAAGGUAAUGAUGAAUAGGGACAGUUGGGGGUAUUCGUAUUCAGUUGUCAGAGGUGAAAGUCUUAGAUUUACGGAAGACGAACUACUGCGAAAGCAUUUACCAAGGAUGUUUUCA